This 565-nucleotide ribosomal RNA is filed under the name Paramarasmius palmivorus. Its description in RNAcentral is "Marasmius palmivorus partial small subunit ribosomal RNA". It matches the Rfam family "Bacterial small subunit ribosomal RNA", at positions 409 to 948 of the family's 1533-position model. The record is from RNAcentral. Lineage: Eukaryota; Fungi; Basidiomycota; Agaricomycetes; Agaricales; Marasmiaceae.
UANCUACUGANUCACAUUUUGAUCUUUCGGGAGAAGUGAUAAAUGUCCAUAGUAAGGGAAAAAAAUGAUGCUACCUUACUCUAAGUCGNNGUCCAAAUCUGGUGCCAGAAGACUCGGUAAGGCCAGAAACGCGAACGUUAGUCACAUUCGACCAGGCGUAAAGGGUAUGUAGGCAGCUUAAAAGUUUUAUUUUUAUAAUAGCUAUUUCAAAUAAAAAUAUUGUUUGAUUUUAAAAAUAAAAUUAAUUUAAGAUAGAAUCAAAUUGAGGAUAAGCCGAAUAAUAUUUAGUGUAGGGAUUAAAUAUGCAAAUACUAAAUGGAAUACUAAAGGUGAAAGCUUUUUAUCUAAUAUUGAUCGACGCUGAGAUACGAAGGUGGGAAAAGGAAAUAGGAUUAGAGACCCUGGUACCUCCCACAGUCAACGAUGAAUGGUAGAUUGUUAGUUUUUUUUUAAAACUAGUACCGAUGUUAACGCGAUAACCAUUCCGCCUUGAGAGUACGGUUGCAAAACUGGAACCAAAAAAAUUAGUCGGUCUCGGAGCAAACGAAGUGAAGCAUGUUAUUUA